GAUUAACGCUAGCGGCAGGCCUAAUACAUGCAAGUCGAACGGGAUUCAAAGUAGCAAUAUUUUGAUGAGAGUGGCGCACGGGUGAGUAACGACGUAUGCAAUUUACCUUUAACUGGGGGAUAGCCCUCCGAAAGGAGGAUUAAUACCGCAUAAUAUAUUGAAAUGGCAUCAUUUUAAUAUUAAACCUACGGGGGUUAAAGAUGAGCAUGCAUCCGAUUAGCUAGUUGGUGUGGUAACGGCUCACCAAGGCAACGAUCGGUAGGGGGUCUGAGAGGAUGAUCCCCCACACUGGUACUGAGACACGGACCAGACUCCUACGGGAGGCAGCAGUAAGGAAUAUUGGACAAUGGAGGCAACUCUGAUCCAGCCAUGCCGCGUGAAGGAUUAAGGCCCUAUGGGUUGUAAACUUCUUUUAGACGGGACAAAACCCCUUUACGUGUAAAGGGUUGAUGGUACUGUCAGAAUAAGCAUCGGCUAACUUCGUGCCAGCAGCCGACGGUAAACUGUAGUCGU
Molecule: ribosomal RNA, 513 nt
Filed under: uncultured bacterium
Lineage: Bacteria
Description: bacterial SSU rRNA
Rfam family: Bacterial small subunit ribosomal RNA
Source: RNAcentral